GAUCCUGGCGUCAGGAUGAACGCUAGCUACAGGCUUAACACAUGCAAGUCGAGGGGGCGAUCAGGAAGAAAGCUUGCUUUCUUUUGCUGGCGACCGGCGCACGGGUGAGUAACACGUAUCCAACCUGCCCUUUACUCGGGGAUAGCCUUUCGAAAGAAAGAUUAAUACCCGAUAGUAUAAUGAUUCCGCAUGGUUUCAUUAUUAAAGGAUUCCGGUAAGGAUGGGGAUGCGUUCCAUUAGGUUGUUGGUGAGGUAACGG
This 259-nucleotide ribosomal RNA is filed under the name uncultured bacterium. Its description in RNAcentral is "partial 16S ribosomal RNA". It matches the Rfam family "Bacterial small subunit ribosomal RNA", at positions 15 to 263 of the family's 1533-position model. The record is from RNAcentral.